This 207-nucleotide ribosomal RNA is filed under the name uncultured bacterium. Its description in RNAcentral is "partial 16S ribosomal RNA". It matches the Rfam family "Bacterial small subunit ribosomal RNA", at positions 568 to 774 of the family's 1533-position model. The record is from RNAcentral.
CGCGCAGGCGGUCGCGCAAGUCGGUUGUGAAAUCCCCUGGCUUACCCAGGGAACUGCAUCCGAUACUGCGUGACUUGAGUCCGGGAGAGGAGAGUGGAAUUCCCAGUGUAGCGGUGGAAUGCGUAGAUAUUGGGAGGAACACCAGUGGCGAAGGCGGCUCUCUGGACCGGUACUGACGCUGAGGCGCGAAAGCUAGGGGAGCAAACA